CUAGCAUGGUAUCACAGUGAUGCCCGACUCUCUACAAGUCUCUCUUGGGUAAAGUUUAUUUUACUCUUAAGGGCAUGUGCUCUCACUCUUCUAUUCAUUGGAUUCGUUUUGAAAAAUGUGCAAACAUAUAUCUCUCUUGGUUAAUCACAAGGCUUUUCCCACUCCUCGCGAAUCAGACGAGACCCUGCAUGCCAUGCCAAGACCUCCCCCGCAAAGCAGUUUGUUCAGUCCAUCUCCGGUUCCUCCAAAAUUUGUUGAAUUGGCGCAGCAAGCAUGCAGGGGCUCUGAAACGAAUUGGAGGAGAAAGAGCUCCGUGCCCCUCAAAAUUAAAGAAGAGCUAGGUAGGUACUGCAUCUGUUUUCCUGUCAAAACCAUUUCUAUAUCAACUAGCUGCAAACAAUAAUAAUAAUAACUCUAGCUGAUAGAUCUAUAUAUACGACGACUUAGCUUUAGUUUCUUUUUGAACUAUUCAACCAUCCAACUUAUAAAAAACUAUCAACUUAAUUAUAAAAACAUUAGCUGAUCCAAAUGGGCCAUCAAUGACUCCUUUUCCACGUAUGUGCCUAGCGGGCUGGGCCAAAUACCUUGCCAUGUUUGUGCAGGAAGUUGAGAGCAUUAAUUUGUUACAGGUAAAAACCAUACUAGAAUAUAUCGCUGUUUUGCACACUUUAAUUUGAUCUUACCCCGGCCUUGAUGUUUUUGUAAUGGUUGUUGUGUGCAUCGGGUUCAUCAAAGUGACUACGUAUGUACUUCAUACACCUUGAAUGUGUUUCACUUUUCAUUGCUAAAUUAAAUCUUAGCAUCCAAGCCAAAGAAUUAAUCAACUUCCAACCUUUCUUCUCCAUAUACGU
This 851-nucleotide long non-coding RNA is filed under the name Sorghum bicolor (sorghum). Its description in RNAcentral is "long non-coding RNA (SBIC_LNC007491)". The record is from RNAcentral. Lineage: Eukaryota; Viridiplantae; Streptophyta; Magnoliopsida; Poales; Poaceae.